This 3895-nucleotide long non-coding RNA is filed under the name Homo sapiens (human). RNAcentral describes it as "HSALNT0362083". Lineage: Eukaryota; Metazoa; Chordata; Mammalia; Primates; Hominidae. The record is from RNAcentral.
GUGAGUCAAGGGGAAUGGAGUGAGAAAAAUAUAAAAUAAAUGAAGGUUCUCAGCUUUAUACAUAUUUUUUUUUCUCCUGGGUCAUUUUAAAUGCUACCUUGGUAAUGAUCUUCAUUUAAUUUAUUCUUCAGAUCCUCUGUGCUUGAAAAUACAGAGAUGAUAUGAAAAAAAAAGUCACCAUCUUUGUAAGAAUCUUACUGAAUAAGAAAGAUCUUUUUUACAAAUUAAACUGCUGAAGAGAUUUCAACUGGGUUUGGAAUCCAGAUCAACUCAAUCUCUGGCAGAAUAUUUUCAGGAAAAAAAAAAACCCUGGAACAUUUGAGAAUUACAGUUCUGUACCUCUGCAAAGAUUUGUAUAUUCUUCCAUUGGUGGGUGAGGGGGCAGGAGGAAAUUCUCUGGGUAGGCUUACAAAAACAAGAUUUUUAAGCGCUUCUGAUGAUUCUGAGCUACAUUUCUGGACUGGAAUUUGAGUGUUUACGUCGCUGUUUCUUGGAUAAUUAAAGAGGGCAGCAAAGGACCAUAAGCAAUUCUCCAAUGGUGAAGAUCGACCCCAGUCAUGUAAAAACACGAGGCAACACAUUUCACUUUUGCUUAAGAAGGAUCUUGCAGAAAGUGAAGAAGAGCAGGAAUAGAGAAGACAUUUGAAUGACGACUGAUGUUCUCUUCUUUGGCCUGAGGUUUUAGAACACAUUCACUGCCUGAUCACUGUGGCCCAGAAGCCAUGGCCUCUGCUGAGAGAUAGGGACCCCAUGUUCCCUCUACACAUCUUCUUCCCCAAAGCCUCUCUGAGGCUCCUAUGUUCAAAGAAACAGUCCUCUGGCAAUGGCCUGGUCCUUUCUGCCAUACCAAAGAAAGUUGUUUUUUGUUUUGAGCAAGAGAUCACUUCUGAUUUUCCUACCUUUGACAUGGACCAGACUAAUUGACAAAUUCUAGAAGGACAGACACUUCCAAACGUCUCUUGACAUACUGGCUUCACAAAGGUUAGGAAAGCUGUUAUGGGGAGGACGGAGCCUUUCUCCUCUUCCUGAGAACGUUUGAAGAAGAAAGGGGCUACUGAGAAGUCUGGUAGAUUCAGCAGCUAGUAAAUAUCGUGUCUAAAUGGGCAUCUUUUAUUAAACUCUGAGGCAGGGUUGGUGUGUUAGGCCAUUCUUUCUUGCUAUAAAGAAAUAUCUGAGACUGGGUAACUUAUAAAGAACAGAGGUUUAAUUGGCUCAUGGUUCUGCAGGCUGCACAGAAAGCAUAAUGACAUCUUCUUCUGGCUAGGCCUCUGGAAGCUUCCAAUGAUGGUGGAAGGCGAAGAGGGAACUUGCGCAUCACAUGGCAAAAGCAGGAGCAAGAGAGAGGCGAGGAGGUGCCGCACACUUUUAAAAGACCAGAUCUCAUGAAAACUCACUAUUGUGAGGACAGCACCAAGAGGAUCGUGCUAAAUUAUUCAAGAGAAAUCCUCCCCCAUGAUCCAGUCACCUCCCACCAGGCCCCACCUCCAACAUUGGGGAUUACAUUUCAACAUGAGAUUUGGAUGGAAACACAUUCAAGCUUUAUCAGGUCUAGAGGGCAGCGUCAGGGAAGCCAGAGAUUCCAAGCACAAGAAAGAUUUGAUGCAGCCUUGGUGACUUGGAGAUGGAAGGGGCCAUGAGGCAAGGAAUGUAGACAACUGUAAGUGUUGAAAGUGGACCUCAGCUGGCAGCCAGUAAGAAAAGAGGAACCUUCAGGCUACAACCUCAAGGGACAGAAUUCAGCCAACAUCCAGAGUAAGUUUAGAAAUGGACUUUUCCUCGGCGCCUCCAAAUAAGAGUCCAUUCUGACCUCUGCAUUGAUUUUAGGCUUAUAAGAUUAAGCAGGUGAUCCAGCCACACGGUUCUGGUCUUCUGAGCUCCCGGAGAAAUGCAUGUUGUUUGAAGCUGCUAAGUUUGUGGCAAUAUGUUACUCAGCAACAGAAAACUAAUAUACUUGGAAUAGAAUAUUCACUGUGAAUGAAGGAAGUUUUGAGCUCUAUAAAAAUGGAAAACUUUUAUCUUACUCUCACUUCCAACUAAUUUCCCAGAUGCAUUAUCACUUCAGAACAUUCUGCAGGGUAUUGGCGAUGAUUUUUCUUCUUUAUAGAGAUCCAGUAUUAAGUUAGAGAAUAAAUAGUGGUAAUAAUAAUAAUUAAUAAUAAUAUAGAUAACAUUUUGAGCGUGUUUAUCAUGUGCUAGCAUUUUGCUAAACACUUUAUCUGCAUUCUCUCAUAUAAUUCCCACAAUGGUCAUUUUAAGACAGAGAUUAUUACUAUUUUCAUUUUGUGUUUUCGGAAUUAGAGAAUUGCAGACAUGUAUAAAUCUUCAUAUAUAAACCUGUGAUAUUGUGGUAUAAUGGGAAAUAUAUAUUUUGUUUCUGCUCCUGGUUCCUGGCACAAAGCUACUAAAACCCUUGUAGUUUCCUGACUAAUAGGGGUGCUAGGUAUAUCUUUGGUUCUGAUAUUGGGUCUUUGAUUCCAGUUCCUGACAUGGUGCUCAUAAUCCCUUAGAAUUUUCUGGGUGAUACAUGUGUCUUUUUUUCUAAGGAAGUGACUCUUGAUGGGCUACUGGAUUGGAGCUUGUCACCAGAAAGACCAAGCCAUGAUUAGAAGCUUGGAACUUUCAGCCUCAGCCCCUAUCCUCCAGGAAGCAGAGAGGGGCUGGAGAUUGUUAAUAAUCAAUCUUGCCUAUGUGAUGAAGCUUCCAUAAAAAUCCCUGAAUUCUGGGGUUCAGAGAGAUGCAAGGUUGCUGAACAUGUGGAGAUGCUAGGAGGGUGGUGCCCUGGAAAGAGCAUGGAGGUUCAAGAGCCCCUUUCCCCAUACCUUGCCCUGUGUAUCUCACCCCCUCUGGCUGUUAAUCUGUAUCCUUAGUAAUAUUCUUUAUGAUAAAAUGGCAAGUGUAAAUAAAGUGUUUCCCUGAAUCCUAUGAGCCACUCCAGCUAAUUAAGCAAACCUGAGGGGGUUCUAGAAAACACCAAUUUAUAGCCCAUCAGUCAGAAGUUCUAGAGGCCCAUACUUGUGAUUAGCAUCUGGAGCGAGGGGCAGUCUUGCGGUGCUGAGUCCUCACCUUGUGAGAUCUGACUCCAACUCCAGGUAGGUAUUGUCAGAAUCGAGUUAAAUUGUAGGACACCCCAUUAGUGUCCACUGGAGAACUGCUUGCAGUGUAAGGGGAAAAUCCCACAAAUCUGGUGUCAACAGUCUUGUAAUGUUUUGUUGAGAAUAUAAUAGAAGAUGCUUAGUUCAUCUGUUUGUUUGUUUACUAUCAUACAGAACCAAAAUCCAGGUCUGUCUGAUCUUAAACCCAUUUGCCUGGUGGAAAGUUAUGGAUGGUGCUCAGAGUUCACUGUUCUCUUUCUGUUUCAUAUGCUCAGGUGUGUUGCUAAACAUGAGAUGCUGGGAAACUGAAAGGAAUACGUAAGAAAGAUGGCAACAAUUAAAAAAUGCAGAAUGAGGUUGAUCUAAAAUAAAAGUUGACAACCAAUGAAAUGGAGUCCUUAAAAUUCAUUUUUCAUAGAAGAACAGAUAACGGAAUUACAUACUUAAGAUAAAUAAUUGCCUGGGCUUGGUUUACUGAGAUUUUUUAACUGUGUUUUAUAUUUGUGAUUUAAAAAACUAUCAGGGAAGCUUAUCUGCAAUGUGUUAAGAGCCAACUACAUAAAUAGAAAUCAUAGACUCCAUCAAGAGGGACAAAAAUCAUCUGAUUCUUUUUAUUAAAUUAUGGUAGCAUAGAUAUUUAGAAAGCCAAGAAGUAAAUUCUGUAGGACAAAGUAGGUCAUAUCUAUACUAGAGCCAUUAAGAAUUAUUGCCAACUAUUGACAAUUAUUAUCAACUAUGAGUAACAGGGUUAUGUAUCUCAGACAGGCCAAAUAUGAGGAGCUCACUCCAAAGCAGCUCUGUCC